AAGGCCUUAGCUUAAUUAAAGUGUCUGUUUUGCAUGCAGGAGAUGUAGGUUAAAAGCCUGCAGGUUUUA
Molecule: transfer RNA, 69 nt
Filed under: Synodus variegatus (variegated lizardfish)
Lineage: Eukaryota; Metazoa; Chordata; Actinopteri; Aulopiformes; Synodontidae
Also listed under: 1 other name
Description: tRNA-Ala
Rfam family: tRNA
About the family: Transfer RNA (tRNA) molecules are approximately 80 nucleotides in length. Their secondary structure includes four short double-helical elements and three loops (D, anti-codon, and T loops).
Source: RNAcentral